Molecule: unclassified non-coding RNA, 341 nt
Filed under: soil metagenome
Description: partial contains 5.8S ribosomal RNA, internal transcribed spacer 2, and large subunit ribosomal RNA
Rfam family: 5.8S ribosomal RNA (bases 1-120)
Source: RNAcentral
GAUGAAGAACGUAGCGAAAUGCGAUAACUAAUGUGAAUUGCAGAAUUCAGUGAAUCAUCGAGUCUUUGAACGCACAUUGUGCCCCCUGGUAUUCCGGGGGGCAUGCCUGUCCGAGCGUCAUUGCUGCCCUCAAGCACGGCUUGUGUGUUGGGCUCCGUCCCCCCGGGGACGGGUCCGAAAGGCAGCGGCGGCACCGAGUCCGGUCCUCGAGCGUAUGGGGCUUUGUCACCCGCUCUGUAGGCCCGGCCGGCGCCAGCCGACAACCAAUCAUCCUUUUUUCAGGUUGACCUCGGAUCAGGUAGGGAUACCCGCUGAACUUAAGCAUAUCAAUAAGCGGAGGA